ACAGAGGGGGCAAGCGUUGUUCGGAAUUACUGGGCGUAAAGGGCGCGUAGGCGGCCUUCUAAGUCGAACGUGAAAUCCCCGGGCUCAACCCGGGAACUGCGUCCGAUACUGGAAGGCUUGAAUCCGGGAGAGGGAUGCGGAAUUCCAGGUGUAGCGGUGAAAUGCGUAGAUAUCGGGAGGAACAUCAGUGGCGAAGGCGGCCAUCUGGACUGACACUGACACUGAGACACGAAAGCGUGGGGAGCAAACAGGA
RNAcentral lists this ribosomal RNA (253 nucleotides) under uncultured prokaryote. RNAcentral's name for it is "partial 16S ribosomal RNA". It matches the Rfam family "Bacterial small subunit ribosomal RNA", at positions 525 to 777 of the family's 1533-position model. The record is from RNAcentral.